AUGUCUGCUUUCCCUUGGUCCAUCGUCCCUGAGACCCACCCGCGUCUGCCACUACCGCCCGAUAGCACGGACUGCUUCUGCUCCCUCGAGGAUUCCUGCGAUGGACUGUUUCUUGCAAGCAUUCGCACAGACACCCCUGCUGGAAAUUCUCGAUACAUGGUCUCCAAUCCAGCUACCAGUGAGUAUAUUGUGCUGCCUCACUCUGGCUACUCUGGCAACAUCAGCAGCGCUUACCUGGGUUUCGACAGUGCUGUAUCCACUCGAGAGUUUCAUGUCUUCGAGCUUGUGACAGACAUUUUACCCCCCGACAGCCAGGGCAUACACCCCCUGGUUGUGACAGGAGUGAGGAUUUACUCUUCAAAAACUGGUGCGUGGGUGGCAAUGGAACCCAAAUGGGACAUUCAAGUUGGCUUGUGCUUUGGUCAGACUGGGGUUUUCCAUAAGGGAUGUUUGCACGUGCUCACGGAUGAGUCCGGGACUCCGGGUUGGCGAUAG
RNAcentral lists this ribosomal RNA (495 nucleotides) under Triticum aestivum (bread wheat). Its description in RNAcentral is "partial small subunit ribosomal RNA". The record is from RNAcentral. Lineage: Eukaryota; Viridiplantae; Streptophyta; Magnoliopsida; Poales; Poaceae.